UACGAAGGGGGCUAGCGUUGCUCGGAAUUACUGGGCGUAAAGCGCACGUAGGCGGUCUCUUAAGUCGGUGGUGAAAUCCUGGAGCUCAACUCCAGAACUGCCUUCGAUACUGGGGGACUCGAGUUCGGGAGAGGUGAGUGGAACUGCGAGUGUAGAGGUGAAAUUCGUAGAUAUUCGCAAGAACACCAGUGGCGAAGGCGGCUCACUGGCCCGAUACUGACGCUGAGGUGCGAAAGCGUGGGGAGCAAACAGG
RNAcentral lists this ribosomal RNA (253 nucleotides) under uncultured bacterium. RNAcentral describes it as "partial 16S ribosomal RNA". It matches the Rfam family "Bacterial small subunit ribosomal RNA", at positions 524 to 776 of the family's 1533-position model. The record is from RNAcentral.